UACGUAGGUGGCAAGCGUUGUCCGGAAUUACUGGGCGUAAAGCGUGCGUAGGCGGUUCGCUGUGUCCGAUGUGAAAGCCCCGGGCUUAACCUGGGAAUGGCAUUGGAAACUGGCGGGCUUGAGUGCGGCAGAGGGGGGUGGAAUUCCGCGUGUAGCAGUGAAAUGCGUAGAGAUGCGGAGGAACACCGAUGGCGAAGGCAGCCCCCUGGGUCGACACUGACGCUCAGGCACGAAAGCGUGGGGAGCAAACAGG
Molecule: ribosomal RNA, 253 nt
Filed under: uncultured bacterium
Lineage: Bacteria
Description: partial 16S ribosomal RNA
Rfam family: Bacterial small subunit ribosomal RNA
Source: RNAcentral